AUUAUCACCUAUAAAUACAUACUUAUUGCCCAUUUAUUGACCAUAUAACACUUUUGGUCAGUUUUUGGUUUCUCUCUCAGCUCUCUCUCAACUCUAUCUCAUAGUUCUCUCUUCCUCUCUCAACUCUCUCUCUCUCUCUCUCUCUCUCUCUCUCUCUCUCUCUCUAUGACCACGCCUCUUCUCACGAAGAAGAAGAUCAAGAACAACCUACAAAACCCACAGCUUUGCCUUCAAAACCCAGUUCUUCCUGUUCCUCUCUGUUUUCUUCUCUACCCAAAUCCAAUUAAAAGGGUGACAUUUUGAGCUAUUUCCCUAUAAUGGAAUCGUGCAAGGCCCCCAAAUCCACCCCCUUUUGACUUAAAACAACAAAUCCACAAACCCUAACCAGUGAGAGAGGGAGCUAUUUCAAUGGCGAUACAGCCCUCGAGCUCGAGCAAAAGACAUGCUUUAGGUGAAACGACUCAAAGCACUUCUUUGGGCAUUUGGGGACCUGUAAAGACAUGUAUUCAGAGCCAAGCUUAUCUUUGUGCAAUUCAGGUUAUGUUCUAUCUGAAGGCUUGAAAGAUUGAAUAGAAUAUGGGAAGCAAAAUUACAUGCAAUCCAAAUUUCCAUAGUCGUGGUAUGUUUGAGGGACGCAUACAAGAAGGUUUGUCUAGUGGUGGUAUGUCUUAAGUCUUGUAUAAUUGAAUUCAGUAUUUUUUGUAGGGUGAUAUAUACUUGCCUUGAUUCAUUGAUGGAUUAUGGAAGUUAGACAUGAUAGCAAAAUGGCCUACCAUUUAGUAGUUUUUUAUAAGGCCUAACAUUUAUGUCGAAAAUUUUCUAUGGUUCAUUGGAUGGAUUAUGGAAGUUAGACGUUAUAGCAAAAGGGUUUAUCAGUUUCCAUCUAAUGUUUUUGUUAAUUUAGUACAAGGGUGGUUGGAUGCACAUCUCAGAGGUAGCAAAUCCAGUUUUAGCUCUUACAUUAAUGGCAGCACUGCGAAUUUCCAAGAAGGAUUUAGCAUGUCAGUAGAUAAAAGGGAUUUUACCUUUACAAAGGAGCUGCAUGAGAAACUCGCACUAAAUUUCUUUCCCAUCCGAUCUUGUCUGCUGAACAGAUUGGGGAAUGUUUAUGUAUCCAAUUAAAUAAUUUGGACAAGAUUUUAAUGAUGUUUUCAUGUAAUGUGUGUGUAUGUAUGUUUUUAAGACAAAGGAAAUUUAAUACAUAUGCAGAUAAUUUAAUGCC
Long non-coding RNA from Prunus dulcis (almond), 1222 nucleotides. RefSeq lists it as uncharacterized. The transcript is spliced from 3 exons. The record is from RefSeq and is a predicted model, not a curated record. NCBI's taxonomy places the organism in Eukaryota, Viridiplantae, Streptophyta, Magnoliopsida, Rosales, Rosaceae.